This 491-nucleotide ribosomal RNA is filed under the name uncultured bacterium. RNAcentral's name for it is "partial 16S ribosomal RNA". It matches the Rfam family "Bacterial small subunit ribosomal RNA", at positions 29 to 506 of the family's 1533-position model. The record is from RNAcentral.
AGUGAACGCUGGCGGUAGGCCUGACACAUGCAAGUCGAACGGCAGCACAGUAAGAGCUUGCUCUUACGGGUGGCGAGUGGCGGACGGGUGAGGAAUACAUCGGAAUCUACUUUUUCGUGGGGGAUAACGUAGGGAAACUUACGCCAAUACCGCAUACGACCUACGGGUGAAAGCAGGGGAUCUUCGGACCUUGCGCGAUUGAAUGAGCCGAUGUUGGUUUUGUUAGUUGGCGGGGUACAGGCCCACCAAGGCGACGAUAGGUAGCUGGUCUGAGAGGAUGAUCAGCGACAGUGGAACUGAGACGCGAUCCAGACUCCUACGGGAGGCAGCAGUGGGGAAUGUUGGACAAAGGGCGCAAGCCUGAUCCAGCCAUGCCGCGUGGGUGAAGAAGGCCUGCGGGUGGUAAAGCCCUUUUGUUGUGAAAGAAAAGCAGCAGGUUAAUACCCCGCUGUUCUGACGGUACCCAAAGAAUAAGCACCGGCAAACUUCGU